GCGAGGUGGAGCUAAUCCCAUAAAACUAUUCUCAGUUCGGAUUGUAGGCUGCAACUCGCCUACAUGAAGCCGGAAUCGCUAGUAAUCGUGGAUCAGCAUGCCACGGUGAAUACGUUCCCGGGCCUUGUACACACCGCCCGUCACACCACGAGAGUUUGUAACACCCGAAGUCGGUAGGGUAACCUUUAUGGAGCCAGCCGCCGAAGGUGGGACAGAUAAUUGGGGUGAAGUCGUAACAAGGUAGCCGUAUCGGAAGGUGCGGCUGGAUCACCUCCUUUCUAAGGAA
This 286-nucleotide ribosomal RNA is filed under the name Listeria monocytogenes. RNAcentral's name for it is "partial 16S ribosomal RNA". It matches the Rfam family "Bacterial small subunit ribosomal RNA", at positions 1257 to 1533 of the family's 1533-position model. The record is from RNAcentral. Lineage: Bacteria; Bacillati; Bacillota; Bacilli; Caryophanales; Listeriaceae.